RNAcentral lists this unclassified non-coding RNA (231 nucleotides) under Hevea brasiliensis (rubber tree). The record is from RNAcentral. Lineage: Eukaryota; Viridiplantae; Streptophyta; Magnoliopsida; Malpighiales; Euphorbiaceae.
UACUAAUUAACUUACCAACAUACCCUGGAACUGCAAAUCAACAUAAAAUUAAAAACCGCGAUAUCUCCAAUAUCAAGAGCCAUCGCAGGCACAGCCAGCGAUAUCGCCCACAGUUUUCCUUCCAUUUCCAUCCUCCAAUCUAAAAAUUCCUCUUCUCUAUUUGAUUUUGAUGGCAUACAGCUUCGAUUAAUUGUAAAAUCCGCAAAAUGUCCACCGCGACCUCCACAAUUA